This is a non-coding RNA of Cinara cedri, 319 nucleotides long. The record is from the annotation of a GenBank genome assembly. NCBI's taxonomy places the organism in Eukaryota, Metazoa, Arthropoda, Insecta, Hemiptera, Aphididae.
GUUUAUGCCAAUAAGCCGAAAUUGACUGAUGACCUUAAAGUGAACAUAACCCUGGCCAUCGCUCAAAUUCAACCGGAUCUAUACGGCAGAGUCAUUGAAAAUUGGACUACUCGGAUUCGUGCCACUGUGAGAAGCCGUGGCGGACAUUUAAAUGAUAUUAUGUUCCAAACAUAAUUGGCAUACGUAGAACUUUCGAACAAAAUAAUAAUUUCGUUAAUACCUCACACACAGCUUGUUUUAUUCCAUCUCAACAUCGACCCGCUCUUAUUGAUGAGCCCUUUACUAAAAAAAAUAUAUAUUUAGGUUAUUUUUAGAAUUU